Molecule: ribosomal RNA, 468 nt
Filed under: Pseudomonas aeruginosa
Lineage: Bacteria; Pseudomonadati; Pseudomonadota; Gammaproteobacteria; Pseudomonadales; Pseudomonadaceae
Description: bacterial SSU rRNA
Rfam family: Bacterial small subunit ribosomal RNA
Source: RNAcentral
UGGCUCAGAUUGAACGCUGGCGGCAGGCCUAACACAUGCAAGUCGAGCGGAUGAAGGGAGCUUGCUCCUGGAUUCAGCGGCGGACGGGUGAGUAAUGCCUAGGAAUCUGCCUGGUAGUGGGGGAUAACGUCCGGAAACGGGCGCUAAUACCGCAUACGUCCUGAGGGAGAAAGUGGGGGAUCUUCGGACCUCACGCUAUCAGAUGAGCCUAGGUCGGAUUAGCUAGUUGGUGGGGUAAAGGCCUACCAAGGCGACGAUCCGUAACUGGUCUGAGAGGAUGAUCAGUCACACUGGAACUGAGACACGGUCCAGACUCCUACGGGAGGCAGCAGUGGGGAAUAUUGGACAAUGGGCGAAAGCCUGAUCCAGCCAUGCCGCGUGUGUGAAGAAGGUCUUCGGAUUGUAAAGCACUUUAAGUUGGGAGGAAGGGCAGUAAGUUAAUACCUUGCUGUUUGACGUACCAACAGA